RNAcentral lists this long non-coding RNA (817 nucleotides) under Capsicum annuum. Its description in RNAcentral is "long non-coding RNA (CANN_LNC000743)". Lineage: Eukaryota; Viridiplantae; Streptophyta; Magnoliopsida; Solanales; Solanaceae. The record is from RNAcentral.
UGGUUUUCAAAUUUCAUUCACAACAGCAACAAAAACACACAACAACAUAAUAUAAUAUAUACUAUGACACAUUCACAUGCACACACACACUGGACACUUUAUUCACACCAGAAUACAGUGAAAUAAGGAGAAAAACAGAUAAAAAAGAGAGAGAAAACUAGUGAGAAAAAUUUGAUAAAAGGGAAAGUAAAAAAUGAGGAAAUAGUAAAAGACGGAGUGAAACUGAAAAAAAUAGAAUUGAAUGAAAUAGAGACAACAACUUCUUUUUUGGUGAAUCUUCUCCGGAAUAGCCAUGUUCACCGGCGAAUUAAGUUUCUGACUAACCCGUCUCACCAUUGUUAUUGUUACAGUGGCUGAAAGCCACCAAAUACUAGAUCUACCGCCACUGAUCUACUACCAAAAUCGUCGGUAAACCACUAAAAACAGACCCCAUCAAUUUUCUGGUGAAUACCCAUCGAAAACUCGCCAAAAACCGUUGGAAAACCACCAGAAAAUUAUAGAUCUGGUGCCGCUGACGCUUCUCUCCCCUUUCCCAUCUCCGAAAUCACUAUCUCCUCUGACGGAUCUAGCAGAAAAUAAUUAAAACAAAUUCUCUCUAGCCAAGUUCUUCGCUGGAAACGACCGACCUCCCACCAGCCACCACGGCCGCCACCCUUUUUCUUUUCCUUUUUCGGCGCUUAAAAACCACCGUAUUCCAUUCUCUUUCUCCUUUUUUCCCUUUCCAUUGUCGUGACGCCACCAAUGCCAGCUGCCAUGGUUGUCGGCAUGAUCCCUAUUGCAUCAGUUGUUCUUUUUGUUUUUCUUUUUGUAAUUUUUG